AACGAACGCUGGCGGCAGGCCUAACACAUGCAAGUCGAGCGGACCCUUCGGGGUUAGCGGCGGACGGGUGAGUAACGCGUGGGAAUAUGCCCUUCUCUACGGAAUAGUCCUGGGAAACUGGGGGUAAUACCGUAUACGCCCUUUGGGGGAAAGAUUUAUCGGGGAAGGAUUAGCCCGCGUUGGAUUAGGUAGUUGGUGGGGUAAUGGCCUCCCAAGCCGACGAUCCAUAGCUGGUUUGAGAGGAUGAUCAGCCACACUGGGACUGAGACACGGCCCAGACUCCUACGGGAGGCAGCAGUGGGGAAUCUUAGACAAUGGGGGCAACCAUGAUCUAGCCAUGCCGCGUGAGUGAUGAAGGCCUGAGGGUUGUAAAGCUCUUUCAGCUGGGAAGAUAAUGACGGUACCAGCAGAAGAAGCCCCGGCUAACUCCGUG
This 433-nucleotide ribosomal RNA is filed under the name uncultured bacterium. RNAcentral describes it as "partial 16S ribosomal RNA". It matches the Rfam family "Bacterial small subunit ribosomal RNA", at positions 29 to 507 of the family's 1533-position model. The record is from RNAcentral.